UCCUACGGGGGGCAGCAGUGGGGGAUAUUGCACAAUGGGGGAAACCCUGAUGCAGCGACGCCGCGUGUGGGAAGACGGUCCUCUGGAUUGUAAACCACUGUCCCCAGGGACGAAAAUGACGGUACCUGGGGAGGAAGCUCCGGCUAACUACGUGCCAGCAGCCGCGGUAAUACGUAGGGAGCGAGCGUUGUCCGGAAUUACUGGGUGUAAAGGGAGCGUAGGCGGGAGCGCAAGUCAGAUGUGAAAACUCAGGGCUCAACCCUGAGCCUGCAUUUGAAACUGUGUUUCUUGAGUGCUGGAGAGGC
RNAcentral lists this ribosomal RNA (305 nucleotides) under uncultured bacterium. RNAcentral's name for it is "bacterial SSU rRNA". It matches the Rfam family "Bacterial small subunit ribosomal RNA", at positions 337 to 658 of the family's 1533-position model. The record is from RNAcentral.